This 465-nucleotide ribosomal RNA is filed under the name Vreelandella stevensii. RNAcentral describes it as "partial 16S ribosomal RNA". It matches the Rfam family "Bacterial small subunit ribosomal RNA", at positions 338 to 795 of the family's 1533-position model. The record is from RNAcentral. Lineage: Bacteria; Pseudomonadati; Pseudomonadota; Gammaproteobacteria; Oceanospirillales; Halomonadaceae.
CCUACGGGGGGCUGCAGUGGGGAAUAUUGGACAAUGGGGGCAACCCUGAUCCAGCCAUGCCGCGUGUGUGAAGAAGGCCCUCGGGUUGUAAAGCACUUUCAGUGAGGAAGAACGCCUGGUGGUUAAUACCCAUCAGGAAAGACAUCACUCACAGAAGAAGCACCGGCUAACUCCGUGCCAGCAGCCGCGGUAAUACGGAGGGUGCGAGCGUUAAUCGGAAUUACUGGGCGUAAAGCGCGCGUAGGUGGCUUGAUAAGCCGGUUGUGAAAGCCCCGGGCUCAACCUGGGAACGGCAUCCGGAACUGUCAAGCUAGAGUGCAGGAGAGGAAGGUAGAAUUCCCGGUGUAGGGGUGAAAUGCGUAGAGAUCGGGAGGAAUACCAGUGGCGAAGGCGGCCUUCUGGACUGACACUGACACUGAGGUGCGAAAGCGUGGGUAGCAAACAGGAUUAGAUACCCGGGUAGUC